This 335-nucleotide ribosomal RNA is filed under the name Bruchidius lineolatus. Its description in RNAcentral is "partial 12S ribosomal RNA". Lineage: Eukaryota; Metazoa; Arthropoda; Insecta; Coleoptera; Chrysomelidae. The record is from RNAcentral.
UUACUAUCAAAUCCAAAUUCNNAUUCCUUUUAAAAAAAUUAUCCUUAAAUAANUUUAAUGUAAUCCACCUCUUCUUAAAUAUAAGCUACACCUUGAUCUGAUUUAUUUUUUAAUAAAAAAUUAUGAAUAUUUAAAUUCUAUUAAAAUAUUCAAUCUACGACGAUAUGUAAACUUAAAAUUAAAGUAUUUAUAAUCGUGGAUUAUCAAUUAUAGGGCAGAUUCCUCUGAAAAGACUAAAAUACCGCCAAAUUUUUUAAUUUUUAAGAAAAUAACUAUUACUAAUUUAGUAUAUAAAAAUUUANAUUUACAAUAAUAGGGUAUCUAAUCCUAGUUUA